ACUAUUAAUUUACUUAAUACUGUAAGCUAACAAACUUUUUCUUCUAAAGUCCAAAUGAGGCUUAGCAGCAUUGAAAGAUGACACUUAACAAACGUUAGCCCACCCAAGUACCAGUAGUUGCACAUGCUGAAGUGAUAGCAAUUUAUUCCCAUGAAAAGGUUUCAGCACCUGCCCCAGUCAGAAGGAAGACAGCCAACUUGCAACGUUUCAACUACUUAGAACCUCUCCUCUGGUUGAUCAUGUCACUUACAUAAAUUCCACCAAACAAAGCUCCGAAGAUGCUGGAGUAAUGCAGACAAAAGGAACCAAAAGCUAAACAGAGCUUCUGGAAAGAGAGGAUCAAGCAUCUUCCGAGCCAUCUUCAGCAGAAAGUUACUGUUUCCAGCCAGCCACUCACACUUUUUAUUUGCUCAGAUCAGCUGCUUUUAUCUGGGGUGAGCGUGGCCUCCACAUGAUGCAUCCAGCCCGCAGGCUGCCAGUUUGACACCCCUGGCGUAGAUAUAUUGCCUCAGGAUGAUUUGUCCCCAUCUUGUUCCUUCUGAUCUCAAGAAAACUGAUAAAAAUAAAAGAAUGGUGGUACAUUAUUGUAGUGGUUUGAUCACAGAUUCAUUCUU
Molecule: long non-coding RNA, 614 nt
Organism: Thamnophis elegans (Western terrestrial garter snake)
Lineage: Eukaryota; Metazoa; Chordata; Lepidosauria; Squamata; Natricidae
Exons: 3
Source: RefSeq, a predicted model, not a curated record